UAGUCUGUACAAAAUGCCCUGCUAUUGUCACGAGCCACGGUAUAUAAAAGCAGAGGUAGGGGAUACCUGGGCAUUCAUUCAUCCACAAUGAAGGCAGCGUUUCUGAUUCUCCUCGUCUCUGCCCUGCUCAUUGGGUCAGCAUUUGUCGCUGAUGCGCAAUGCAAUGGGAUUUGCACCCGCGACAGUGACUGCAAUCACUGCACCGGUUGUGCCAAUGGAGGCGAAUGUGUCCGCCGCGCUUCCGAGGCUUCAGGGAACUGUUCGUGCCGCUAAUGUUGUACCCAAGAAAGGGAUGCUGAAAAAGCUGUCACUUUGUAAUGAAGUGUAAUAAAUUAAUGAAAGAUAA
Haliotis rubra (blacklip abalone) is the source of this 346-nucleotide long non-coding RNA. RefSeq lists it as uncharacterized. The record is from RefSeq and is a predicted model, not a curated record. The transcript has 3 exons. Lineage: Eukaryota; Metazoa; Mollusca; Gastropoda; Lepetellida; Haliotidae.